Molecule: transfer RNA, 90 nt
Filed under: Plantactinospora mayteni
Lineage: Bacteria; Bacillati; Actinomycetota; Actinomycetes; Micromonosporales; Micromonosporaceae
Description: tRNA-Arg
Source: RNAcentral
CGGCCGGCGGUCAGCGGGGGUGGUGCGCGGUCACCUGGACCGCGACGGUCACCGUGGCCGGUUCCGGGAGUUCGUCGAUCCGCCGGUCGA